This 262-nucleotide ribosomal RNA is filed under the name uncultured prokaryote. Its description in RNAcentral is "partial 16S ribosomal RNA". It matches the Rfam family "Bacterial small subunit ribosomal RNA", at positions 524 to 784 of the family's 1533-position model. The record is from RNAcentral.
UACGUAGGGUGCGAGCGUUGUCCGGAAUUACUGGGCGUAAAGAGCUCGUAGGUGGUUUGUCGCGUCGUCUGUGAAAUUCCGGGGCUUAACCUCGGGCGUGCAGGCGAUACGGGCAAUACUUGAGUGCUGUAGGGGAGACCGGAAUUCCUGGUGUAGCGGUGAAAUGCGCAGAUAUCAGGAGGAACACCGAUGGCGAAGGCAGGUCUCUGGGCAGUAACUGACGCUGAGGAGCGAAAGCAUGGGUAGCGAACAGGAUUAGAUA